This 561-nucleotide ribosomal RNA is filed under the name uncultured rumen archaeon. RNAcentral describes it as "bacterial SSU rRNA". It matches the Rfam family "Archaeal small subunit ribosomal RNA", at positions 132 to 693 of the family's 1478-position model. The record is from RNAcentral.
CUGGGAAACUGGGGAUAAUACUGGAUACUAGGCUAUGCCUGGAAUGGUUUGCCUUUGAAAUGUUUUUUCGCCUAAGGAUAGAUCUGCGGCUGACUAGGUCGUUGGUGGGGUAAUGGCCCACCAAGCCGAUGAUCGGUACGGGUUGUGAGAGCAAGAGCCCGGAGAUGGAACCUGAGACAAGGUUCCAGACCCUACGGGGUGCAGCAGGCGCGAAACCUCCGCAAUGUACGAAAGUGCGACGGGGGGAUCCCAAGUGUCAUGCUUUUUUGUAUGACUUUUCAUUAGUGUAAAAAGCUUUUAGAAUAAGAGCUGGGCAAGACCGGUGCCAGCCGCCGCGGUAACACCGGCAGCUCGAGUGGUAGCUGUUUUUAUUGGGCCUAAAGCGUUCGUAGCCGGUUUGAUAAGUCUUUGGUGAAAGCUUGUAGCUUAACUAUAAGAAUUGCUGGAGAUACUAUUAGACUUGAAGUCGGGAGAGGUUAGAGGUACUACCGGGGUUAGGGUGAAAUCCUAUAAUCCUGGGAGGGACACCUGUGGCGAAGGCGUCUAACUGGAACGAUCUUG